CCUACGGGUGGCUGCAGUGGGGAAUAUUGCACAAUGGGGGAAACCCUGAUGCAGCAACGCCGCGUGAGUGAAGAAGUAUUUCGGUAUGUAAAGCUCUAUCAGCAGGGAAGAAAAUGACGGUACCUGAAGAAGAAGCCCCGGCUAACUACGUGCCAGCAGCCGCGGUAAUACGUAGGGUGCAAGCGUGAUCCGGAUUUACUGGGUGUAAAGGGGGCGCAGACGGCGGUGCAAGCCAGGAGUGAAAGCCCGGGGCCCAACCCCGGGACUGCUCUUGGAACUGCGUGGCUGGAGUGCAGGAGGGGCAGGCGGAAUUCCUGGGGUAGCAGUGAAAUGCGUAGAUAUCAGGAGGAACACCGGUGGCGAAGGCGGCCUGCUGGACUGCAACUGACGUUGAGGCCCGAAAGCGUGGGGAGCAAACAGGAUUAGAUACCCUAGUAGUC
RNAcentral lists this ribosomal RNA (440 nucleotides) under uncultured bacterium. RNAcentral describes it as "partial 16S ribosomal RNA". It matches the Rfam family "Bacterial small subunit ribosomal RNA", at positions 338 to 795 of the family's 1533-position model. The record is from RNAcentral.